This 7650-nucleotide long non-coding RNA is filed under the name Sus scrofa (pig). RNAcentral describes it as "lncRNA (ENSSSCG00065049770.1)". The record is from RNAcentral. Lineage: Eukaryota; Metazoa; Chordata; Mammalia; Artiodactyla; Suidae.
GCGCAGAUGCUUUCAGUUCCACUAACGGACACACAUGAUGCAACUUAUCAGCAGGGAGUACUGAGGCCUCCAGGGCAGUCUGGGAUGUGCUUUGGGAGCCAGCCGGGUCCAGGGCACCCAGCCACCACCACUUCAUCCACAGCAAGACGUCAGGACACACGCUCAGCUCAGAUGAGGCCUGGGCCUCUAUUUUAGAGCUUACUUUAGAUCAGACCAGACAAUAACAGACAUGUUUUGCUCUUCCCAGGUCUGCGGUCCCAAGGCUUUAGCUGGAUCCCACCUUCACCUCUGUGUGGAAUUAUAAUUUGUCUGGAAUGCAAACAGGCCGUUCAGGCAGCUUUUCCGCCUCCCCUCCCUUGCCUGCAAACUUCGGUCAUAUGGGCAGAAUCCCAUCAGCUUGACCAGGCUCCUGGAGGCCUGCAGAAAACCUGCCCACCCAGGAUGCCUCUCUUGCUGGGAGCACUCUCUCACCUUUGGGCCAUGUCAACACUAGAAAUUCUCAUCAUCCGGUGAGAUCCCAGACUCUGCUUCCAUAGACACCCUCAUCCUCCCCAUGUCUAUGCGGUUUGCAUGCUCAGCUAGUCCUCAGCUCCUCCAGGCAGAUGUGGGCCUGAGCGCCGGCUCUUUCCAUCUCCAGCAGGAAUUUGUAAGGUCAAGUAUCUGGUGGGGUUUUAAGAAUCAUCUCUGGGCUGCUGAGAGAAGGGCCCAUUGUUCUGUAAUCAGGGUGCUAAUGGGAGUCUGGGAUGUGCUGAGGGUUUCACAGCCCGUGGGUGAGGCCCUAAUGGGGGCUUCUGGGAGGAGAAAAGACUACGCUGAGCCAAGGUACUUGGUUCCAAAAUAAGUUGUGCAGUGAAGGGCCGCUUACCAGACAGUGGAGCUGGGAUGCCAGGAAACCAGUGGGCACUGCAUCAGCACUGUAAGGCUCACUGGCAGUGGCAGCCCUUUGGAGGCCUCCCUUGAGGACAGGGCACACUGGACACAUGGGACACAGACCCCGUGUGCUUGGGCGGGAGGGACAAAGGCACCGGCCAGCACACCUGGCAGAGACAUGUGUCCAGAUCGGACAUGGGGAGCUGGCAGGAGACCUGAGAGUGUGGCUGGGGUGACACACAAGAAAGAGAGGCUUCAGGACAGGUGGGCUUUUAGCAAAAGGAGUGGCUCCAAGUCAGACGCAGGUGGAAGGCUCAUGUCUGCAUCUGGAAGGGCCUCUGGGGUGCUGACUGGCAACUGAGGCUUUGUCACCAGCUGUGUCCCCAUGCUCCGGUGGCACCCAAGCCCGGGCGGUGCCUCUCUCUUAUCCCAAGCAUCUCUUCCCACAUCGGCUAGGAUUUCUGUGCCUGAAAUAAGUCAUGUCUCUCGAGUACAAAUAAUCAGAAGAAUAAAAGUAUACUUUCCAAGAUUAGUUAUCCUGAAUGCUCCAAGCCCACAUUCUGUAAACAUGUGAAUAUUAGUUUAGCCACUGAAAGAAAGGACAGCCUUAAAAACUCACUUUUUGAUUAUAAAGAAAACUACAGAUGAGCAAUCAUUUUUUUUUUGAAAGGUUAUUUUGGUUAAAAGCUCCCCCUAUAUUUAUUUUCCUUGUGAAAUAGUUUAACUCCUCUGGUUUGCAUUGGUCAUGACACUUAGUGUUCCUUUUGAAAUUCAACAGGCUGGACAGCAAAAUUCCAGUCAAAUUAGGGAUGCAAAACAAUGUGCUGUGACAGUUUUCCUAAGGGUGUCCUUCACCCCGUAAGCGGUCAUCCUGACAAGAGACACCCCACCCCAACCCUGUGCCAAGCCACCCAUAGGAGCAGCUGCUCCCAACACCAUACCAGGCCAGUCGGACUCCUGACUCCUUUAACCACGAGGAAAUAUUUACCUAUCGCCUUAAAAAUACUUUUCUGCUUUCAAUAUUACUGUUGGCAAAUAAAUAGUGUUUCUUAACGUCUGAGGUGAAACAGCAGGAAUGAACCUUCCUGGGGUCCCUGUGAAAUGGUUCCGCUGAAGUCUGCCUCAAGAUGUCUUCAUGGGGAUGCAGAACAAGAAGAUGGGCCAAAGCACUUCACACAGAGCCCAAGACCUACUCAGAGAACAGUCGUUUUAAAGGUCAGGCCAUUCAACCUGAGUUAUUGCCUCUCGUGCUGACUUGCCGACGGCUUGGCAGCAGUUCCCCACCUGGCCCAGCGCAGCAUUAUUUCGGGCUCUGUGACUGUGAUCAGUUCUCUCCUGCCCGCCCCUGCUUCCCAGAUCACCUCAUCUCCCCACAGUUGCUGGUCUAACUGUUGAGUAUAUGGAGCCUCCCCUUUGUGGAAUGUGUUCUUUGGGGCCCUGGCACCCCUGGAAGUUUGCAGUCAAACAGUGUAGUUUCCCUGAAGGAGAGACUAGGUCUCAACAUCUGGAAAGCCUAGCGCCAUCUACUCAGGGAUGGAGCUGGAAAGCCUGAUAUGUCUACACAGGGAUGAAACUGCAAAGCUCAGCACCAUCUGAGCAGGGGGUGAAGCUGGUGCUCAGUCCACAACCACUGAUGGAGACUGAUGCCCUCCUUUGAAAAUGGAAAAUCAUGAGCUGAAAAGUCUGUCAUAUUGGUAAACAUGUGUGGCUGAAACAAGUCAUCUCUGCACAGGGAUUUGCUGACUGCCCUCACCCACAGUAAUAGCAUUGCCCAAAGGCACACUGUGGUUCUGGGACACUGAUCACAGCUUGUUUCCAUCUGCCUUUCUGGGGUCACCUUUGAUCCCCUUAUGAGGGUUAUGAGGGUUUCUUUCUCCUCCUGCCCCUGAGCUGCAUGCUGCUGCCCCCCGCCCCCGCCCAAAGUCCUCAGUGCGCACCUCGAUGUUCACUGUCACUGCGCAGCUCCAUGCCCGCUUGGUAUCUGACUCCAAAGCCUUCUAAGAGCCCAUCCUUUCUGGCAUUAAGCACUUGGAACCUUUCCCGAGGAACCUCUCUGCCUACAUGUAGGCACGUAGAUUUUAACCUCUCCACAUAGCCAGAGUAGUAUUUCUGAAAGUCAAUCUCAACACAUCCUUUCUUGACUUAAAAGAUAGGUUCACAUAGUUACCAGCAUAAACCUCAAAUCACAGGGCUUGGUUGACCUGGCCCCUUGGGGACCCCCAUCUACUUCCUGUUUACCCUCUGCUCUCUUCCCAGGCAACCUCAGUAAUCUGUGCUCUGUUCAUCCUAAAUUGUUUCUGUCUGAAGACAGAAAUACGGAAACUGCUGUCCUUAACUGCCACAUCUUGGAAUAUUCCACCCUUUCUUCCCCAGUCUUCUCCUCCUUCUCCUCCUGGCCAGGUUGGAUUUAACUUAGACCUCACCUCCUCCAGGGAGCCUUCCAAGACCACCCAAUUCCCCAUCUCCCCAAUCUGCCCUGUAGGUACACAGGAAACAGGAAUGUAUGGACCUGUUUAUUUAUACGAAAAUACCUCUGCCCCCAUUAACCUCUAAGUUCUUUAGGGCAAGCAAGGUCUGUUCAUAAUUGUCCAAUGUUUUAUCUUCAGGGACGAUCCCAAAGCCUGGAUCUUAAUAAAUGCUGGGUUAGGAUCACAACAGCAGAGACUGAUUCAGGCUGCAAUGGGAUCUGUGUUUUUAUCUUAAGCAAUACCUAAAGAGAAUUCAGACUCCCAGCCAGAUCUGUGGGGCACUAACCCCUGGUAUGGAGGGUCGCUUAGCCUGAUCCCCCAGGACCUGAGGACUCCAUGGCUCUGUGCAACCUUCCCUUUGCUUAUGAAGGAUGAAAGCAUCUGCUUCCUUAGAAGCAAAACGUUGACUCUGCCUUCAAUUUUAAUUUACCAAGUUACUCCAUGGAGGAGCGAUUUUCCAACCUCACUGCAUCUGAGAAACAAGCAGCUUGAACAUGUGACUGUUGGGCCCAUCACAUAGAAAUUCAGGUUCAAUUGGCUGGAUGUGGAGCCGUCCCACCAGACACCGUUAUUAAGUUUCUUGAAGUUGAGAAUGCCUGCAACAGGGAAUACCCAAGAAAAUUCUGUGACUGACACUGCUGAAACUCAAUGCAAGUUUUACUGACAUCAAGAAGACCUUUCUAUUUUCAAGCUAAGAAAGUUAGUAAUUAUUAACCUUAAAGCAAGGUAAUUUGCUGUAGGGUUUAGUUUUAAAGCCAGCCAGACAUCCUCCAUGGGGACACGAUUGUGAUAAGUGUCUGUGGUAAGUCAUGGCCAUUUUCAUGACUUUUGUACAAAAUAUGGGGAUUGGAAGACUGAGCUACAAGCGAUGCUAGCAAAAGAGUAAGUGUAACUAUUGAGGCUGGUUUUGAAUUAUAACUUCGCCAAAGAGCAUUUCAAAGCAGUAUGUUCUUUUUCUUCCCUUCUCUCUUAAAAAACGAGGCUGUAUUUUUUCACAUUUGGUAAAAAGAAUGCUCAGAAUCUUCCACCCAGAGCUCCAAGCUGUAGCCAAACUGAUUGAUCGGCCCCAGAAGGCCACCUAGAAGAGAUCUCUGAGGUUGCAUAUUCACUACUCAAGGAACAGCAACAUCAUUGCCCAGUUUCUCUACCCAAAACCAAAGAAUGCUCAAAGCGCCUCACCUUUACUAUUCUUCUUCUUCUUUUUUUUUUUUUUUUUUUUUUUUUUGCCUUUUCUUGGGCCGCUCCUGCGGCACAUAGAGGUUCCCAGGCUAGGGGUUGAAUCAGAGCUGCAGCUGCUGACCCACGCCUGAACCACAGCAACGCCAGAUCCGAGCUGCAUCUGUGACCUAUGCCAUAGCUCACAGCAACGCUGGAUCCCUCUAACCCACUGAGCAAGGCCAGGGAUCAAACCCACAACCUCAUGGUUCCUAGUCGGAUUCGUUAACCACUGAACCACAAUGGGAGCUCCUUACUCUUCUAUACUACCACCACCACUUGAUCCUUGGGAAUGCUCCCUGGUGUCCAUUUCUUCCCUCCACUGCAGUCUGGCCCUGUCAUCCCUGACCUCUAUUCCAGCCCUGGUGUCUCAAGCCCAGUUCUGCAAACCUUAAGUGGUUUUCUUUACUAUAGACAGAAUGAUAUUUCUAAAUUUUAAAUCUCAUUAUAAUCCUUCUUGCUUAACACCCUCUGGUGACCUCACUGCCACCAGGACAGAGGCAGACCUAACCCCCAUGGCUUAUAACACCCUGCAGGAGCCUUCUCCUGCUUCCGCACAAAACCUGUCUUUCUCCACCCUGCAUUUUCUGCGUUAGUCAGAAAGUUUCUUAAAUUGACUUUGCUCUAUUUUAUGGGGAGAGCUCUGAGCAUUCCACGUCUGUGUGAAAUAAGAUUUGCCUUUCUUGACCUCUAGGCAAUGCCUGCUCAUCCUUUGGAAUUCAGCUUAAAAAUGGUACUUCCCCCAGGAAGCCUUUCUUCUUUGGGAAUGUGCCUUCACUGUAGCCUAUGUCCCAUUAUCACAACUGGCGUGAUUUACACACACACUUUUGUCUCAUUCAGAUCAUUAAUUCUUAAGGUGAGAGGCUCAUGUUCACCCUGAACCCUCAGUGCACUGGGGGUUCACACAACUAGGUGAUAGAAACCUCUGCUCUUGCAUCUGCACCUUUCCACACCUGCUGGCUUCUCCUAGAGGAGCCUGAGUGAGGUCAACUGAAAAGUGGUUAAAUGCUGAAGCUUUACUCCAUCACCAUCUCUUUACCCUCACUGGACUUUGGCCCAGGUAGAAUGUCUUCGCCUUUUACUGUUUCCCUCCAAAUCCCAAGGACACGGUGGGUUUGAUUAGAUGUGUUUCUGGGAUGUAUGUGCACAUGCAUGGUUUCAUGUUUCCAGGCCUACACAUACUGUGAUUACUUGUUAUACAGACAUGGAUCAAACAUCAGCUCUUUUAAAAACCCUGGAUACUUUCACAACUAAAACAUGGAUGCAACACUAGUGCCCAUCAACAAAUAAUCAAUGGACAAGUGAACAUAGCACAUGGAUAUAUUGGAAUAUUACUCAGCCUCAGAAGGAAGGAAAUUCUGAUACUUGCCACAUCAAGGAUGCAUCUCGGGGAUGUUAUGCUGAGUGAGACAAGCCAGUCCUCUAAGGAUGAACAGUCAUAUGCGGCCCCUAGAGCUAUGGAUUCAUAGAAACAGAAAAUAGCCUGGUGUUUGCCAGGGGCUGGGGGAGGGGGAGGGAUGUUUGUUUUUAGUGGGAACAGAAUUUCAGUUUGGGAAGAUGACAAAGUUCUGGGGAUGGUGGCGGGUAUGGCUGCACAAUGAUGUGAAUGUGCUUAGUGCUGCUGAAUGUACACUUAAAUAUGGCUAAGAUGGUAAAUUUUAUGCUGUGGGUAUUUCCACAGGAAGAAAACCCAGCAAACAAACCCUUCCUGGGCUCCCCCAGGCCAGCCUGCCAUAUUAGUCUGUGGUCGGGUCAUAAGAAGGGUUUCCACCAGAGAUGGUGAGGACCAGUUUCAUUAGGACACGUGCAAGUGCCUUGGUUCCCAGAGGCCUUUGGCACAUGCUCAGUUCUUUAUUCGAGAGUGAACUGUCAUUUCAAAGGCUUUUUCUGCUUUAAUUUACCUCCUUUGGAUAAUUUUGAAAGGGGCCCUUCCAGGUUAGUGUUCUGUCUUCUUGGAGAUUAUUGACAAUAAGAGACGGCAGAACUUGACAUUUCUUUGAACCCUGUUUGCCUUGGUGGCUUCAGUAAUGUGAACAGUCAAUGUGCCUCAGACUUUAGAUAUAUUGUUAGAUUUCCUUAGUCUCUAGUAUUUUUGCAGGAGUCUCUUUGGUGACCUAUCUCCAAACUUGGAGACCAAACAGUAAUUCUGGGGAAUCUGAAAAGUUUGACUAUAUAGAACUAAGCAACCACUAGAAGUGAAUUUGAAGUAUAUAUUCUGCUUACAUUUAUUUAUUUAUUUAUUUUUGUCUUUUGUCUUUUUAGGGCCGUACCUGUGGCAUAUGGAGAUUCCCAGGCUAGGGGUUGAAUUGGAGCUGUGGUCCCCGGCCUACGCCACAGCCACAGCAACACAGGAUCCGAGCCACAUCUGUGACCUACACCACAGCUCAUGGCAAUGCCAGAUCCUUAACCCACUGAGCAAGGCCAGGGUUGAACCCGCAUCCUCAUGUAUGCUAGUUGGGCUUGUUAACCACUGAGCCAUGAUGGGAACUCCCUAUUUUUUUUUUUUAAAGAAUUGUUAGCAAUGCUUUUUCAAAACACAAGAAAAUAUCUAAUGAAAAUGUAACCGUAUAUGUUGAAAGACACACGUUUUACUCUAAGAGUAAUGGAACCAGACAUUGGGUUUAGGAGAUGAGAGUCGAACUGAAUUAUGUUUUGUGAGGAAUCUGACAAAAGAGAUAAGUUAGAGCUGAGAAGAAAGCUAAAAAAUCGAGAGAGAUAUUCCUUGUGCAGAUUACAACCAGAGGAGCCAGCCUGCAGGUGCUGAGUGGAUAUAAUGCAGAUUUCAUUUUAUGUGCUUCAUGCAUUUUAUUUUAAAGGAAACACAGGAUUGAACCAACUGAUGUUUAAAGCUUUGAUUGCCAUGUGAAAUUAUUACAAAACAGAAGUAUUUACUACAUUAAGCUAUAGAAGUGGGAUAUUUUAUUUAAUUUCAAUUUUUAUUUAUUUUUAAGUACUAAGUGCCUUUUAUUACAUUUAUAGUUGUACAAUGAUCAUCACAACCCGAUUUUAUAGCAUUUCGAAUUGGGAUAUUAAUUAAGAAACAUUUUUGGAAAACCAAAACAUUUACCUCUAGAUUUUCAAUAAACCUACUGCACGA